This 775-nucleotide ribosomal RNA is filed under the name uncultured Neocallimastigales. RNAcentral describes it as "partial large subunit ribosomal RNA". It matches the Rfam family "Eukaryotic large subunit ribosomal RNA", at positions 26 to 644 of the family's 3401-position model. Lineage: Eukaryota; Fungi; Neocallimastigomycota; Neocallimastigomycetes; Neocallimastigales. The record is from RNAcentral.
CGCAUCUGUGCAUGCAGCAUAUCAAUAAGCGGAGGAAAAGAAACUAACAAGGAUUCCCCUAGUAACGGCGAGUGAAGCGGGAAGAGCUCAAAUUUGAAAUCUUAAAGGGUUUCCCUUUACGAAUUGUAGUUUAAAGAAGUGUUUUCUGUUGAGGUUUUGGUAAAAGUUCUUUGGAAUAGGACAUCAUAGAGGGUGAGAAUCCCGUAUUUGACCUUUACUUUCAACUUUGUGAUACACUUUCAAAGAGUCGGAUUGUUUGGGAAUGCAGUCCAAAAUGGGUGGUAAAUUUCAUCUAAAGCUAAAUAUUGGCGAGAGACCGAUAGCGAACAAGUACCGUGAGGGAAAGAUGAAAAGAACUUUGAAAAGAGAGUUAAACAGUACGUGAAAUUGUCAAAAGGGAAGCGUUUGACACCAGUGUUGUUUUUCUGAAAAUCAAUUAAAGAACUGUUUAUGCUAAGCUGUUUAGACUUUAUCAGCUAAUCUGUUUAGUUUUGAGCUUUUCUUUAAUGCACUUUUCAGUUAACAAGUCAACAUCAAUUUCUUUUGCUGUAAAAAAGCUUGAGGAAGGUGGCUUGAGAUUCGUCUUAAGUGUUUAUAGCCUCUUGCCUAUGCAGUCGGAGAGAUUGAGGUCUGCAGCGUAGAUCCUUCGGGGCUAAAUGCAUUUGUGCUAAGUUAUAGCAUUUUAUAGACAACUUGUUGACUAUGAUUUGUCUUGUAGCUUACUCGCUUAUGUUAUUUUACCUACGCUUAGGAUGUUGAAUCUGUGCGAGACUAC